GGAAGUUGAGUUGUAGCAGGGUGUUGCAUUCCCUCUUCCUAGAGGUGUGCGUAACAAUAAGCUACAGCUAGCUAGCACUGCAGUGCAUAAAAUGUGAUGAGUAGUUGACUCAAAGAGAGAGACAAUAGUUUAACAGUUUUGAACAAGAUUGAGAUAGAGUUGGUCCCUUUUUUUCACUUUCACUUAGCUAGCAAAUGCAGCUAGCUAGUUCAGCCUACUCAAACACCCUGCUCAGAGGGAUGCUAUGUUAGCUAGCUGGCUAUGACUAUCCAACACAACACUGGAACUCUUCCAAGUCAAGGACCUGAGCCCUAGGACCAUGCCUCAGGACUACCUGGUAUGAUGACUCCUUGCUUUCCCCAGUCCACCUGGCCGUGCUGCUGCUCCAGUUUCAACUGUUCUGCCUGCGGCUAUGGAACCCUGACCUGUUCACCGGACGUGCUUGUUGCACCCUCGACAACUACUAUGAUUAUUAUUAUUUGACCAUGCUGGUCAUUUAUGAACAUUUUAACAUUUUAACAUCUUCACCAUGUUCUGUUAUAAUAUCCACCCUGCACAGCCAGAAGAGGUCUGGCCACUCCUCAUAGCCUGGUUCCUCUCUAGGUUUCUUCCUAGGUUUUUGGCCUUUCUAGGGAGUUUUUCCUAGGGAGUUUUUCCUAGCCACCGUGCUUCUUUCACAUGCUUUGCUUGCUGUUUGGGGUUUUAGGCUGGGUUUCUGUACAGCACUUUGAGAUAUCAGCUGAUGUACGAAGGGCUAUAUAAAAAUAAAUUUGAUUUAAUUUGAAAUUUGAUCUUACAAUAUUCGAUGAUGACAUUUCUCUAAAACAGGCUAUAGGCUACAUGUGCACCACCAAGUCAGAACAGUAGGCUAAGUUAUGAGGGGGAAAGGGACCAAAUUAUUAGGGUGAGGCACAUGGGCUACUAACAGCUUACUGCACAACAUACACUUUGUAUUACUUUCUUAGUGGGUGAGGCACAUGGGCUACUAACAGCUUACUGCACAACAUACACUUUGUAUUACUUUCUUAGUUACAGUAUACAUAUCUGGCAUAUUGCAUAAUUUAUGCAGCAGCAUACAAUAGAUUUUUGCACUCAUCUUGUUGUGCUGUGCUCACUUGAACAGGAAGGUGACUCGGCGGUCAUUCUUGUGGGCAAAUUUUGUCAUCAAACUUUGUCAUCAAAGUCUGACAUUCUCUUGAUUUAUAGUUUUUUUUCAAGACAACUGACUUUUUAAAGGCUCAACUCGAAAAAUAACAAGGUUGAAUCAUGACGUCAGUGAUCUUCAUGUCGGAGCUCAGAAGAGGCCCAAGUUCCCGACUUGGAAUUCCGAGUUGGAUGACCAUUCAAAAUGUAGUGUCCCCAUGAGUGACAGAACACUGAGCCAAUUACGGCGCAGAUAGAGAACAUUACCAACCCCU
Molecule: long non-coding RNA, 1418 nt
Filed under: Salmo salar (Atlantic salmon)
Lineage: Eukaryota; Metazoa; Chordata; Actinopteri; Salmoniformes; Salmonidae
Description: lncRNA (ENSSSAG00000110746.1)
Source: RNAcentral